GGAGCUGUAUGAGAUCUCAUCCCAUGGAUCUACUUUCUGCUUGUCUUCUUCUAAAUUAAACAUUUCUCCAACACUCCCUGAUCUGAAAAAGCUCCGUAGGAGGAGUUUCCUCAUGACAUCUUCCCCUUUGAUGUUGAUUUUGAUUGAAGUGCAGACAUCCAGGAAGGUGGCAUGAUUUGAAGAACGAAGGAAAAGACACUCACAAACACCAUUGUCACCUCAAAAAUAAAAACAUUCUUCUGUCCAGUGAUCUCCAAGUUGCCAGGAACAGAUUCCUUCAGCCAUCAAAUGCCUAGGCCUUCCCAAAGGAUGAGCCUAUUCACUGUGAGGAAUUUGAUGGCAAUUUUAAUGGAAAUGAAUUUAUCAGUGGUACUUUACUUCAUUAUUGUAUUGUUCGUGAUACUGAAUUUUUUUAAUUGCAUUUAUGGCUAGUUUAAUUUUAUAAGAUGCCUUGUGGAGGCUUGUUUGCUUUGAAAAG
Rhineura floridana is the source of this 478-nucleotide long non-coding RNA. RefSeq lists it as uncharacterized. The transcript is spliced from 4 exons. The record is from RefSeq and is a predicted model, not a curated record. NCBI's taxonomy places the organism in Eukaryota, Metazoa, Chordata, Lepidosauria, Squamata, Rhineuridae.